AAGUGCAGAAUACAAAGUACAGCAGAUUGAUUUGCAUCAUGUCAAAACCAGAUUGUCCAAGGGAUACAUCGGUUGCCGCUGCCGCACCCCUCCUGUCGAUGUUCCAUGACUCCAUUCUUGCUGGCCACUUUGUCCCAAGCAUUUCACCAAACAGUUAGGCCUCGUUUGGGAGCUAGGUAACAGCGCACCCCGGUCAGAGACCACAGGUGGGGCAUUACCUGCAGUGUCUAUCACCUGUGUGGUGCUGCCCGGCGGGGCUCCUUUACCCUGUGGCCGUUUGGGUACCCGGUAGUGGAACGAACUACAACCUGCCCUCCCUGCUGAGAAUUUGCUCAGAUUAGACAGCAGGAUGACAGCUUAACUUAAGGCAAGCCUGCGAAGAUCAGUAGGGUCAACAGGAUGAAUACGCAUGUUCUGCUCUUUUUGUUCAUGUGCUCAAAAUACAUGAGCAAAGUUAGAAUAUGCAAAUUUGGGCAAUAUUAGAACAAUAUUCAGCACAGGACAACAUCAGAACAAAAGAAGCAGAUAGCACUUGCUGGGAGAGCAAAUAAAGCCAAUACUUCUAGAUGCUUAACAUGAAACACCUUUGACUGAUGCUCAUGUGGCAAGCCCCAAUUUUCUGCAAGGAAUAAAACAAGAAACUUAGAACUUACCUUAACAUUAAGGACAUUUUAUCAAUAUGUUUUAGUUUGCUACACUGGAUCAAUUGAAGUCAAACUAGCUAUCUCCUAGGAAAGAAAGAUAGAAUGUAUAAUGUAAUUAUUCGAUUGAAUACCUUCUAAUUUUGAGAGGAUUUCUUAGUUGUUAUACCAUGUUCCUUCAGCCUCUCAAUUGAUAUAUCC
RNAcentral lists this long non-coding RNA (842 nucleotides) under Zea mays. RNAcentral's name for it is "long non-coding RNA (ZMAY_LNC002290)". The record is from RNAcentral. Lineage: Eukaryota; Viridiplantae; Streptophyta; Magnoliopsida; Poales; Poaceae.